CAACCCCUGUGACAUACCUUAAUGUUGCCUCGGCGGAUCAGCCCGCGCCCCGUAAAACGGGACGGCCCGCCAGAGGACCCAAACUCUAAUGUUUCUUAUUGUAACUUCUGAGUAAAACAAACAAAUAAAUCAAAACUUUCAACAACGGAUCUCUUGGUUCUGGCAUCGAUGAAGAACGCAGCAAAAUGCGAUAAGUAAUGUGAAUUGCAGAAUUCAGUGAAUCAUCGAAUCUUUGAACGCACAUUGCGCCCGCUGGUAUUCCGGCGGGCAUGCCUGUUCGAGCGUCAUUUCAACCCUCAAGCCCCCGGGUUUGGUGUUGGGGAUCGGCUCUGCCUUCUGGCGGUGCCGCCCCCGAAAUACAUUGGCGGUCUCGCUGCAGCCUCCAUUGCGUAGUAGCUAACACCUCGCAACUGGAACGCGGCGCGGCCAUGCCGUAAAACCCCAACUUCUGAAUGUUGACCUCGGAUCAGGUAGGAAUACCCGCUGAACUUAAGCAUAUCAAAA
Molecule: ribosomal RNA, 504 nt
Filed under: Fusarium tricinctum
Lineage: Eukaryota; Fungi; Ascomycota; Sordariomycetes; Hypocreales; Nectriaceae
Description: eukaryotic LSU rRNA
Rfam family: 5.8S ribosomal RNA (bases 134-287)
Source: RNAcentral